CGUAUCCGAGCCGAGGACUCCCGUGGUUGCCAGGGCUGGAGCUGGGUUACAGGCUGACGAGGAGAGUCUCACCUUCCGCCGGGGGGUUGCCUAGUGAGGCGGCGGCGAGCGGUUCUUCGCCUGCUGCACCUGAAUCUGUGCGUACCUCGCACUUUGUGUAGUGCAGUGAGCGGCGUCAGACGCGGGUUAGCGGGAAACUACGCCUGGCCGAUGAAUUCCUCCCACCCCGCAGCAAGGCUCCGCUCCUGUGCAGCCGCUGUCUUUUCUAAAGGUCAAAGUACUCAGCAAGUAUAAGAGGAAUGUGCAAAAAGGGCAAUUUAACACCUCGCUGGAGUCAGCCACUUGACUUCUGAACAUGAACUCAGGUUUUCAUGUGACUCUUUACUGUGCUUUAUGACUUCAGAAGAGACACACAGUCCUUCCACACAGACCUUCCACACAGACAACUUUAAGUCAUGUUGUCUCCUUUAUUGAUAUCAAAGAUAAAAAGGAGCAACAUGCAUUCAGAAGAAUCAUACAAAGGUUCUUAUCCAGCAGAGAGACUGAUGGUCUGUCUGCUUUCAGGUUGAAACUGAUGCCAGGGAAAGGAAGUCAGUGUAGAAGCAGGCCUGAGUAGGGCUGAGAUGACCUAUAACAGUUGCAAUGAAGAGCCUACCACUGCAGAAAAGUCAGUGGUGCUUGCUUUUCAUUUUUUAAAGUUAUACUUGUUCACUGCUCCAUGAUAAUCACGCAUUAUUAAAAUGUCAGUGGGAAAUGUCUUCUUAAAUGAAUUCAUGUUAAUAACUAGUCAUAAUAUUCUGAAAGACACUAAUUCAUUCCCAUAUAAUCUCUGCUGCACUUUGUUUGGCACACACAGGUUACCUCUAAAAAACUGCUUUACAAUAGAGGCUCGUGCUCUUGGUGUGGCUAAAGUCAGACUUUCCCCCCUUAAAUCACCUCAUAAGCAAGUACUGGAAAACAACAGACUACGUUGUCCUGUGCUGCCAGCUCAUCCACAGCAGAAAACGGUAGAGACACCAGCAAUGCCUGCUUUCAGAUUCAGCAAAGUGGAUGAACAAUGCUAACCUGAACAUAGGAAAGCACAUCUUCUUAAGCUCUACUUUGAUCUGCUUGAGUGAAAUCUCAAAAUGUUGCUGCCUCUAAAACUAAGGAAUAAUUUAUUGCACAUAAUUACACCAGUUUAGCAAGUUCUGUACAGGCAGCAUCUUGGGAAAGGAUAAUAUUCAUGACAUCAAAGAGCUGCUCAAUGCGCUGGUCCUGCCGGAGAUCUUCACCACCUUUGACAAGAAAGGGAUGUUCCCGCUCGUCACUGCCGCGGAU
Long non-coding RNA from Mauremys reevesii (Reeves's turtle), 1320 nucleotides. RefSeq lists it as uncharacterized. The record is from RefSeq and is a predicted model, not a curated record. Lineage: Eukaryota; Metazoa; Chordata; Testudines; Geoemydidae. The transcript has 5 exons.